GAUGAACGCUGGCGGCGUGCUUAGCACAUGCAAGUCGAACGAUGAAGCCCAGCUUGCUGGGUGGAUUAGUGGCGAACGGGUGAGUAACACGUGAGUAACCUGCCCUUGACUCUGGGAUAAGCCUGGGAAACUGGGUCUAAUACUGGAUAUGACUUCUCAUCGCAUGGUGGGGGGUGGAAAGAUUUAUUGGUCUUAGAUGGACUCGCGGCCUAUCAGCUUGUUGGUGAGGUAAUGGCUCACCAAGGCGACGACGGGUAGCCGGCCUGAGAGGGUGACCGGCCACACUGGGACUGAGACACGGCCCAGACUCCUACGGGAGGCAGCAGUGGGGAAUAUUGCACAAUGGGCGCAAGCCUGAUGCAGCGACGCCGCGUGAGGGAUGACGGCCUUCGGGUUGUAAACCUCUUUCAGUAGGGAAGAAGCGAGAGUGACGGUACCUGCAGAAGAAGCGCCGGCUAACUACGUG
Molecule: ribosomal RNA, 466 nt
Filed under: uncultured bacterium
Lineage: Bacteria
Description: partial 16S ribosomal RNA
Rfam family: Bacterial small subunit ribosomal RNA
Source: RNAcentral